AGAAUCAUCUCUAAGAACCAGGUUAGAUAUUGGGGAGAAGAAGAUGGGUAUUUGGUUGAAGAAGUGGCCCAGGAACUACAAAGCUGCCUUGAAGAAGAGGAAACUCAAUACAGGGAAGUUUGGAUGUAUGAAAUUAUGGGAAAAUAUAACUUUAC
This is a long non-coding RNA of Suncus etruscus (white-toothed pygmy shrew), 155 nucleotides long. RefSeq lists it as uncharacterized. Lineage: Eukaryota; Metazoa; Chordata; Mammalia; Eulipotyphla; Soricidae. The record is from RefSeq and is a predicted model, not a curated record. The transcript has 3 exons.